RNAcentral lists this ribosomal RNA (465 nucleotides) under uncultured bacterium. RNAcentral describes it as "partial 16S ribosomal RNA". It matches the Rfam family "Bacterial small subunit ribosomal RNA", at positions 29 to 507 of the family's 1533-position model. The record is from RNAcentral.
GUGAACGCUGGCGGCGUGCUUAACACAUGCAAGUCGAACGAUGAAGCCCAGCUUGCUGGGUGGAUUAGUGGCGAACGGGUGAGUAACACGUGAGUAACCUGCCCUUAACUCUGGGAUAAGCCUGGGAAACUGGGUCUAAUACCGGAUAGGAGCGUCCACCGCAUGGUGGGUGUUGGAAAGAUUUAUCGGUUUUGGAUGGACUCGCGGCCUAUCAGCUUGUUGGUGAGGUAAUGACUCACCAAGGCGACGACGGGUAGCCGGCCUGAGAGGGUGACCGGCCACACUGGGACUGAGACACGGCCCAGACUCCUACGGGAGGCAGCAGUGGGGAAUAUUGCACAAUGGGCGCAAGCCUGAUGCAGCGACGCCGCGUGAGGGAUGACGGCCUUCGGGUUGUAAACCUCUUUCAGUAGGGAAGAAGCGAAAGUGACGGUACCUGCAGAAGAAGCACCGGCUAACUACGUG